AUUUUGGACAAUGGGGGAAACCCUGAUCCAGCCAUCCCGCGUGUAUGAUGAAGGCNUUNNGGUUGNANAGUACUUUUGGCAGANNNNNAAAGGUAUCUCCUAAUACGAGAUACUGCUGACGGUAUCUGCAGAAUAAGCACCGGCUAACUACGUGCCAGCAGCCGCGGUAAUACGUAGGUGGCAAGCGUUGUCCGGAAUUAUUGGGCGUAAAGCGUGUGUAGGCGGUUCGGAAAGAAAGAUGUGAAAUCCCAGGGCUCAACCUUGGAACUGCAUUUUUAACUGCCGAGCUAGAGUAUGCCAGAGGGGGGUAGAAUUCCACGUGUAGCAGUGAAAUGCGUAGAUAUGUGGAGGAAUACCGAUGGCGAAGGCAGCCCCCUGGGAUAAUACUGACGCUCAGACACGAAAGCGUGGGGAGCAAACAG
RNAcentral lists this ribosomal RNA (422 nucleotides) under uncultured bacterium. RNAcentral describes it as "partial 16S ribosomal RNA". It matches the Rfam family "Bacterial small subunit ribosomal RNA", at positions 361 to 775 of the family's 1533-position model. The record is from RNAcentral.